GAGAUCCCCGACCGGCAGCGCCAUUUUAGGCGCGCGCACAGACACGGGCUCGGUUUCCGCUGCUGCUGCUGCUUGGAGAGACAACAAGCAGGCGGUGACAGAGGCGGAGGAGGGGCGGCGGCGGCGGCAGCAGCAGCAACGGGCCAGAGGAAAGGAGAAGGGCCUCCUUGGAGCCUACCCGCUUGGCACUCAAUGGGUCUUUCAGGUACCUAAGCGGACGCCGCCUCCCUGGGUAUCAGCCAAGCGAGAGCGGGGGAAAACGCAGGCAAGGCCCCGUCGGCGCCUGCGGCCCAUUAACCCCUCGCACGCCCCCCAGCCCGGACAGCAGGCAAGCUGGCUGGCUUGCAAAGACAGAAGGAAGAGGUUCCUCCCAGACCAGUUUUGGUCUCACAAGGGUGUGCUAAGAAUCCAGGUUAGAGGGGGAAUAGGCUGAAAGAAAUUAUUUUUUUAAAAAACCAAAACCGUGUUUGUUAAUAGGAAAGUUUAAGAAGGAAAACCAGCACAAGUAUCGAGCUAUGUGCGUGACUAGUACACAUAAAAAACCAGCCCAGACCCAAGGUCGGUUGCUGUGAAGACCGGGAUGAAAUGGUAAACCCGCUUGCUCCACACCCUCUUGCUUUUUAAGCCCCACGGUCUACAGCAGCGCGCGUGCACCGGGGAGGCGCACACCCACAGCCGAGUUUCUCCCCACCCCCUUCGUGAUGAAUGCGCCCCCCGCCCUUUCUCUUUCCCAUUGCCUGCCCCGCUUGGGUCGGCGCUGCCCUUUGUGGCUUUUUCGGCCCGGCGGCCGCGCUGCGAGAGCCCAAAGGAGGUCGGCGUCGGCCCCCGUAUUCACCGGGGAAACGAGCAGAUAUUGAUCACGGGCGAGUUGAUUUUGCUUAAUUGUGGCUGACAGUGCCUGUGGUUUCCUCAUUUACGGAGCAACAGCAUCGAGGGUCUGAUUGAUUGGGAGCGCAGCGCCUCCCACUCCCCGCUCUCCCUCCCGGCAGACACACACACACAGGGGGGUGGGGGCGAGCAGCCACCUCCGAGAGGAGCCUGUGUGAAGGCGAGUCCCUCGGGAGGGGAAGCAGCAGCUUCUCAUUAUUCAGCAAAUGGCCGGCGCGCCGGCAGCUAGAGAUGCAGCUUGGUUGGUUCGCUGUCGAGCGCUCGGGCGAGCUUAAGUAGCCUUAAAUCCUCCCGCUCCCCCCGCAGGACCGUCUGCCUGCUUUUGCCUGCGUCGUCGGCCCCUACGCCUCCACCGCCGCCGCCGCCUCCUCCUCCUCCUCUUCGCCCGCCAGCAGAUUGGUCCGCGAGUUAAGCGCUCGCGAAUGGAGAGCUUUUAACAGGGCGGGGGGUUGCAAUCCUCGUCGCCUAAGCGCUCGCUCAGUCAAAGUCCCCACGCCGAGGUGGCGAACUCGUCCCCCGCAAACUUAACUCAGGAGCAACCUCGCUCUCCUUUCAAUGAAAUGACGCCAUAGCAAAGCAGCUUAAGGCGCAAUCCAGCGCUCACAAGCCCCGGUUGAAAUUAAUUGCUAAAGAACAGCAGCCGCUCCCUGCGCAGCUCUGUCAGCCGGGCUUGCGCAGGAGACCUUCCCGUUGGCUUGCGUCCUUAGCCAUCUCUUCCUGCGAAGAAGAAGCGAAAAUCCAAACCACCAGCACCGUCACACUUCGUCUGUACAACUCCUACCAGUAAGGAGUUUUGGUGCCAGCGCUUUCUGGAAAAUGUACAUUAAACGUGCCUUUUAAAAUAAAGAUGAGCGCAGCAGACAUAAAUGUCAGAAAAGGAGCUGUGUGGCAACCAUCUGCAAGCCGCUUGAUCCAGGAUGACUUCACAAUUGCCCUGCGACCCUUUUUAUAUCUACUCAGAAGUAAACCUCGUUGAGCUGAAUGGGGCUUACUCACAGGUGAGCGCGCAUAGGAUUGCCGCCUUAAAUGUGAAAUCUGGGCCCAGUCCCUAAACCUGCCUAUCAGUUGCAGGAGGGUUUCUUCCACGAAUCAUGUUCUCCAAUCCAGGUUUCCCUACAUUAGCAUUUCUAGCUAACUGUCCCAUCCCAAGUGCUUUCCGCUCCUUUAACUUUUUUUAGCCCCCCUAAAGUGCAUUCCUGCACCCCCGGGGUGGGUUCCAUCGUAAAGCAAAUGAGCACAGGAUUGCAGGCGGUCCAAGGCUCACCGAGAGGAGCCUUUACACAGAAUACACAGCGACACCUGCUUCCAGGUAAACAUACAUAGGAUGGAGCCGAAAGACAAUUUUUGCGAAGACGACUAGGGCUUGGGCAUCACUCAUAGGAACAAAGGCUUAUCAUGAACCAGACCAUGGGCCUAUCUUGCUCAUAUUGUCUACACUGACCGGCAGCAGCUCUCCAGGGUUUCAGGAAGGCCUACCUGGAGACGCCAGGGAUUGAAGCAGGGAUUGUCUGCGUGCAAGGCAGACGCUCUACCACUCAGCCAGGGACUCCCCAAGUCCAAACAGGGCCGCUGGUGGGGAUAGGAAGUGUUCCUCAAUUCUAACUGUACAUCGCCUAGCACCCUAAGGAAAAACCCUCCAGUCUCCCAGAGGCAUCUUCAGCAGAAUCUAUUCCGCCUUUACUAAAAGCAUCGUACGUGUCCUCAAGCAGCAAGCAGCGAUCUAGAGGAAUCCUCCGGUUUUAAUAUCCCAGCAAUGCGCAGGGCAAGAACCGGCCGAGGGAGCACAGAGCAGGGCCUCGCGGACAAAGUUUCACGGCGCAGCUGGGAUUGCUCCUCUGGCUGCGAAGCUGCGCGCCCCCUCGGCCUUCCUCGGAAGACUUAAGGACCCCGGCGCAGCCUGCCUUGCCAUCUUGAAGUCGUCGGCUCCGAAACGCGAGGGAGGUGAGGGGGGCUGAGCGCGGAAGCAACUGCGCUGCAGAUGGGCGGCUAUGAAUUUUUGCUGCUGCUUCGAGCCUUAAUUACUGGCUCUUGAUCCGUGGGACUAGGACACGACACCGCCAAGGUUAAAAUGCCCGGAACAGCUCUGAGCAGAUGUGAGCGAGUUGGCAGACGCGCAAAUGAGGUCUGCCUCCAAGCACGAUAACAAGUGACUAAUACAUUGCAUAUCGCUGAAAGAAAAUUAUUUUCCUCUCAUUUGCAUUAGCUCUCUCCCCCCCGCCCCAAGACCAAAAUAAAAAGCCAACGACAGCACCACCACUCGCGCGCCCCGCUCAGAGGCAGCAGUCUAAUCCGGGGGUGGGGGGUGGGGGGAGAGAAAGAUGCUGGGUGACUUUUAGAAAUUUGUGGAAGCAGGAAAAGAUUUGCCAGUGUUUUGGCAAGGCAGCCGUGUUUAUCUUUCCGCCUUUGCUCCAAGGCAAAAGUAGUUUCGCAAGCAACAUUCCUGCAGAAAAUGGCAGACGUCACGUUAGAGCUCGAUUUAUUGCUCUGGCGCUUAAUGAAUGACUGCUGGGGGUAUCUUCCACCCAGAGUGCCUCGUGCACAGAAACUGGAGAGUGACAGAUAUGCCGCAUGAGAGUGACGAGGAAUGAAAUUCGAUGUACAGUUGCCAGUUGCCCUGAAACAAGCCGGCAUUGCCCAAAACAGAAAUUCUUUUCACAAACCAGAAGUGCUCGGAUUGAAGACGAUCGGCGCCACAAUCCAAAACAAAAUAGAAUAAUCCUUAUUCCCAGGUUUUAUAUGACUUGCCUCCCCGCUGCAUGCAUGUUAAUUCCGAAGCAAGUCCCACAGUGCUGAAUGGAGCUCAUCCGCUUCCAAGCAGGGUUAGAGCUGUAUCACUAAUGGCUUUCCGUUGAAAUCAAAAUGACAUAUUUCCAAGCUGUUAAGGGGGGGGGCAUUUCAGACAGGCUGACCCCUCACUUUAGCGAGACUAAUCAUCUCGGUACUAAACCAGUUUAUUAAACAGAUCCCAUUGAAAUCAAUUGAUGUGAAUCGUACUGGGAUCACAGGUUCCUUAAAAAGCAUUGAAAGAUUUAACUGCCAAGUGUAAAUCUACUUUCCUGUAUACUCGCAAUCAAUUUGAAAACACUAGGACAUUUUCACACAAUAUGUUACAAGUUUUCUUUUCUUUUUUGUUUUUCCCACAUCUUUAAUUCAAAUAUAAGACCUAAACAAGCUACAAUGCCUGUUCAUUUUAAACAUGGCUCUUUUUCUCUCUUUGUCACACUUUAAGUGUUUUUGCAGCCAUAGUGUAUAUCAGUAGUGCAAGAGAAUACUCAGAAUUAUAUUUCAUGUUGUGUGCAUGUGCCCUUAUAGGUCUUUCCCAGAUGCACUCAAAUGGCCCAAGUGAGAUGGGAAAAACAUAUUGAAAACUGCUUCAGCUUCACUUUAUGAAGUGUGGGAAUUCAGACACACUUUUGUACUUCCAGAUUAAUGUGUGAAACAGGAAAUUGCACGAGUGAGAUGCACAGGAAACAUAUGGGGGGGGGGUUCGUGCAUUCCAUGCAAGGAGAAAUUGGGUGCAUUCUUCACAUAUUACACCAAAGCAUUAAAAGCCCACUUUGCCAUCAUGUCUCUAGCCAUUUUGGGUCAUUAGCAAUAAGGCCCUGAUGCACUUUCCAAGCUGGGAAAGCUGUAUAGGCUAUUAAUUGGCUAUAUUGAUAUAGUUGAUAUACAAAGAAGUGCUCCUUCCAUUACCUACAUAAGGAAGCGUCAAAUUUCUGUAGCAGAAUGAUUCCCACCUAAUCUGAAAAGUUUAUGAAGAGGAGUGAAGCUACCUCACUCUGCUAGGGGGACAGGAAGGCUGUGGCAAAGCAGAGUGUUUCUUGCGCAUGUGUGAUCAAAGAGCCACUCUGGAUAACAGGUUUCACUCCCGCUGAGCCAAAGCAAAGUCUAGGAACCAUGUCAAUGUGAUGCAAGUAAAGCAAUGAUCCAGGCUACAGUCCCUAACUACAUUUACCUGUAAGUAAGCCCCAUUAAAUUCAAUAGAAUUUACUGCAGAGUAGACAAGGUUAGAAUUGCACAUUGCUAAAUUUCACAGAACUGUAGAGUUGGAAGGGACCACGAGGAUCAUCUAGUCCAACCCCCUGCAAGACAGGAAUCCUUUGCUGAACCUGGGACUUGAACCCACAACCCUGAGAUUAAGAUUCUCAUGCUAUACAGCUGAGGGUUUUGUUCUGUUUACUGUUAUGCAAAUGUUGGCCACACUGAAAUAAGCAUUGUGUAAGCACCAUUUUUGAGGUCAGUAUGCCUCAGUAUAUCAGUUUCUGCUAUUAAACGUAUGGCCUGCUUUCAGGCUUCCCAUAGAUAUCUGGUGGACCAGUCUGAGAAAAGGAUGCUGCACCACAUGGGCCACGCCCCUGAUUCAGCACUCAUUUCUUAUUAAACCUGACUCUCAACCAAGAGAAUCAGGAGCAGGAUCACACAAACAGGAUGUUGUUGCCCCUAACAAAAUUGGUGUACCUCAGUCAUUGACAUUACUGUUUAUGUAAAAGCAGGGAGAAAACCUGCAAACAAAGCAUCAUGAGAUAGAUUCCUUUUGCUGCAAAAGUAGUUUUGCUUCACGUUUUAACACUUAGACAUUGUGAGAAUAGCAGCCUAGUUUUCUCAGAAUAGAUUCAGUUUAUUUCGGAACUUGAUCGUACAAUAUUUAAAAACAAUGGAAAGUUAACAGAUUUGUUCAAUAAAUACAAUGGAAAUUUCCUCACAUUACAAACUAAUCUAACUCUGUUUUGAAUUACCAUGCAAAUCAGAACACACAAAACACACUGUGUGUAGCCCUGUUCUUCUAUUUCUCUCACUCACACAUACAUGCACGCCAAACCUUAUCUUUCUUCUCCUAGGAAAGCCAGGCAGUUUUGACUCAGUCUUCAGUAAAAAGCAGUUUUCUCCCGCUAUGUGCAAAAGGUAUGCCUAUCUUGAACUCCUCUAUCACUUUUUAAAUACCAGUUUGAUUAUUUCAGAGUGAUUAGAACACAGUAAAUUCAUGGAUUUCACUUGUAAGCUUAGGAUCACAGCCCUAGACCUCACCCAUCUUGGAUGAGCUUUCCUUGGUAUUUUUUAUGUUCUGGUUUCAAACAAAGCCAUACUCAUUUAGCAAGGGGUGUGACUGCAUACUGGAGCUGGUCUUGUGCGAGGUGAAAUACUCUUUAAUCCUGAAAGAAUGUGAAAAUUUACUUCCCACUUGCCUCCCACAAUUUAAUUCUCCCCUUAAUAAACCCAUUUGGAAAGAUCAAAUGUGAGAUCUGCCUAAAAUUGUGCAGUUUAUACUUGGUUUUAGUCCCGAAUUAUGAGAAGGGUUUCAUUUGAACCAGGAAUUUCCCUUUCAGUGCCUGCAUAUAUAAAUUGCAUUGACAUUGCUAAUUGUGCCUGACAUUGCUAAUUGUGCCUUGGUAUCGGCUGCUAAAGGAGAAGGUCCCAGGCAUGCCAACUCUUAUUCCACAAGGAGAUACUGGAAUAGGUUGGUUCCUACCCAGGGUGGGACAAAAACAGCUUCAGUGCUUAAACUCAGAUAGGACUCUCCAGGGCAGAAACCUAGUUGCAUUGACAUCUGGAGCCAGAAUCUGGUGAGAGUCAUUUUUCUUUGCACCUGCAAGCUGGCUAGAGACUACAGUUAGCAUACAUAGAGUGCGCCUGGAAUGAAAAGUGAGGCUUUUGGAUAAGAGAGUUUGGCUACUACAAUUCCUGAGCAUUGGCAGUCCUCAGACUAUGCACUGGAGACAUGUGAAAGCAUUGGGGUAUUAGUAGUACACAAGUCACUACCAACAGUUCUGCCUUCAAACCAUUUCCUCUAGAAUUUUAAAAAACAUUUCUAUCCUGCCUUUCCAUUAUAGAGUGUCCAAGGCACUAUAUAACUUAAGAUCCACAGAAUGUUAACACCUGGAUUUCUUCCGAAUGACCCAAUAUGGUUAUCAUGCAUGUAUAAAUGAACUUACUCUAAAAUCUAUGGCUUGAGUAUUGCAGCAGAAAUAUCAAGAAAUCAGUGAUCAUCCAAUCCUGCUAGUAUGUCCCUCUCUGAAUUCAGUUUGAGACACCUAGACUGCAAGUCACAAUUUGUGUGUUAGAAGGUGGAGCACAACUAUUUCCACAACAGAAUGAAUCCUGCCUAAGUGCCAAACAUGCCAUGCUCACUGGCAGGAGGACAAACAGAGCCUCCCCCAGAGAUCUUAAGGCACAAGUUGGCAGGUGUUAGUGAAGGUGCUUUGGCAAGUACUUGUAAUAAAUCAUACAAGUUUAACAAAAGCACUUAUUACUCAACUAUUUAGACUGUCUUGAACAACUUUCCAGUAUCCUUGAAGGACAGGGGCCUUCUCUGUGGUGGCUCCCAGAUUAUGGAACACUCCCUCCCUGUAAAGUUGCAUAUGUCUCCCAUGUUGGCAUCAUUUUGCUGACAGUUGGGUGACAAGGGUUGGCAGUCUGUUAUUCCUUGCCUGCUGUGUUGUGAACCUAAACUGUUUUGAGUAUUUUUAUAUAGAAAAUAUAUGGAGGUGGGGGGAGGGUGCUGAGCAGAAAGCGAAAACACUUCCUUUACUAUGUGUGUGUCUCCAUGGGCUCCUAUUGGAAGGAGGACAGGGUAAAAAAUAUAACAGAUGGGGGGGGGGAGAAAAAAUAUUGUGGGAUGCAUUAUUACUAGAGCAGUCAAGUACAAAGUUUUCUUGUUGCCUAGAAUGGACACACAGCGGAAUGUGACUCCAGACAGGGAGGACUUCCUGUCAUACCUUCUCUGGAGCUUCUUCCCCGUGUGUGUGACCCUAGCUGACCAGAUAAAAGGGCAAGCCACGCAACCAUCUCCCUCUUGCUCUCUUGGACCCUCGCUGUCCUGGCUCUUAUCCAGCGCACCGCUCAACCAUCAAAUAGGAUGGAGCCCAAAAGCAGAAAGUCUGAGAUGUAGCUCAGACUUCUUUUCACUGUAGCCACAAGAUAAAACCUGCCUUCAGAUUACUGCUGUGAACUGAAUGUGAGUAAAAAGUUUAUUCUUACUUUUAAAGAAUACUGUGUUGUGUUAUUCUUAUUUUAAGAGGGAAAUAAAGGGGAAACUUACCAGGAACAAUCCAAACUGGACAAGCCAGGCUGGAUUGCUUAAGUAAAGGAUUAUAACGAAUCAUCAACCUGCUUCCAAUAAGUUGCAAAGGGAAUGUGCUCUGCUGUUUACUUGCUAGCGUGAGUGAGGAGGGAUAAUAUUCAAACAAUAUAUCCUUUCCUACCUUCCUUAACAUUCCCACAAAUAUGAAAGAUUAUGUGCCAUUUUUAAACGUAGUGAAACAAACAGGGAUCAACUGUAUCCUCAGGACAAUUAUCCUGGAGAAUAGCCCAAUGGGCUUCAAGGAGAGAAUCCUGAACUAAGCCAUUUGUAGACUGGAAAUUGUGUGUACAAAAGUAACUGAAUCUGUGGUCCUGAAAACACCUGCAAAAUUGUACAUCUUCAGAUUUUUUCUUAGAUGCAAGUGGAAUGUGUUAGGCCCCCUCUUCUGUCAGUGGGCCCAUGUGGAUUUAUCUGGCUGUGGUGGGCAAGGCUCCAAGGAGAAGCACUGUGUCUAGCCUCUGUCUUAAUUUUCCACAAUUGCCUGUAACAAUGCUAGGUAGGAAUUAUUAUCAUAAAAGAAUAGCUAGAUCCAGCUCCCUGGCACUGCUUUGAAUGCAAGGCCGGGUGUGUGUGUGCAAGGAGCAGGCAUCAGCCCUGCCAGGUACUUAGAUCCUAGCAACUCCCAAGGAUGUGGUUGGGGAAGGGCCAUAGUUUAGUGAUGAGAUGUAUGCUUUGC
RNAcentral lists this long non-coding RNA (8642 nucleotides) under Podarcis lilfordi (Lilford's wall lizard). The record is from RNAcentral. Lineage: Eukaryota; Metazoa; Chordata; Lepidosauria; Squamata; Lacertidae.